This 251-nucleotide ribosomal RNA is filed under the name uncultured bacterium. RNAcentral's name for it is "partial 16S ribosomal RNA". It matches the Rfam family "Bacterial small subunit ribosomal RNA", at positions 525 to 775 of the family's 1533-position model. The record is from RNAcentral.
ACGUAAGGUGCGAGCGUUAAUCGGAAUUACUGGGCGUAAAGGGUGCGCAGGCGGUUGAGUAAGACAGAUGUGAAAUCCCCGAGCUUAACUCGGGAAUGGCAUAUGUGACUGCUCGACUAGAGUGUGUCAGAGGGAGGUGGAAUUCCACGUGUAGCAGUGAAAUGCGUAGAUAUGUGGAAGAACACCGAUGGCGAAGGCAGCCUCCUGGGACAUAACUGACGCUCAGGCACGAAAGCGUGGGGAGCAAACAG